This 287-nucleotide ribosomal RNA is filed under the name uncultured bacterium. RNAcentral's name for it is "partial 16S ribosomal RNA". It matches the Rfam family "Bacterial small subunit ribosomal RNA", at positions 334 to 638 of the family's 1533-position model. The record is from RNAcentral.
UGUUCCUACGGGACGCAGCAGUGGGGAAUAUUGCACAAUGGGGGGAACCCUGAUGCAGCGACGCCGCGUGAGUGAAGAAGUAUUUCGGUAUGUAAAGCUCUAUCAGCAGGGAAGAAAAUGACGGUACCUGACUAAGAAGCCCCGGCUAACUACGUGCCAGCAGCCGCGGUAAUACGUAGGGGGCAAGCGUUAUCCGGAUUUACUGGGUGUAAAGGGAGCGUAGACGGCAGAGCAAGUCUGAAGUGAAAGCCCGCGGCCCAACCCCGGAACUGCUUUGGAAACUGUGC